CGCAGCCUGCAACCCGGCUGCGUGAAGCUGGAAUCGCUAGUAAUCGCGGAUCAGAAUGCCGCGGUGAAUACGUUCCCGGGUCUUGUACACACCGCCCGUCACACCAUGGGAGCCGGAAACGCCCGAAGCCAGUGGCCUGACCGCGAGGAGGGAGCUGUCGAAGGCGGGUCCGGUGACCGGGGUGAAGUCGUAACAAGGUAUC
This 202-nucleotide ribosomal RNA is filed under the name uncultured bacterium. RNAcentral's name for it is "partial 16S ribosomal RNA". It matches the Rfam family "Bacterial small subunit ribosomal RNA", at positions 1299 to 1500 of the family's 1533-position model. The record is from RNAcentral.